UCUAGGUGCAUCUGUGAGUCUC
RNAcentral lists this non-coding RNA (22 nucleotides) under Arabidopsis thaliana (thale cress). Lineage: Eukaryota; Viridiplantae; Streptophyta; Magnoliopsida; Brassicales; Brassicaceae. The record is from RNAcentral.